This 551-nucleotide ribosomal RNA is filed under the name Cytospora sorbicola. RNAcentral's name for it is "eukaryotic LSU rRNA". It matches the Rfam family "Eukaryotic large subunit ribosomal RNA", at positions 81 to 656 of the family's 3401-position model. Lineage: Eukaryota; Fungi; Ascomycota; Sordariomycetes; Diaporthales; Cytosporaceae. The record is from RNAcentral.
UAGUACGGCGAGUGAAGCGGCAACAGCUCAAAUUUGAAAGCUGGCUCCGGCCCGCAUUGUAAUUUGCAGAGGAUGCUUUUGGCGAGGUGCCUUCCGAGUUCCCUGGAACGGGACGCCAUAGAGGGUGAGAGCCCCGUAUGGAUGGACACCAAACCUGUGUAAAGCUCCUUCAACGAGUCGAGUAGUUUGGGAAUGCUGCUCUAAAUGGGAGGUAAAUCUCUUCUAAAGCUAAAUACCGGCCAGAGACCGAUAGCGCACAAGUAGAGUGAUCGAAAGAUGAAAAGCACCUUGAAAAGGGGGUUAAACAGUACGUGAAAUUGUUGAAAGGGAAGCAUUUAUGACCAGACUUGCGCCGGGCAGCUCAUCAGGGGUUCUCCCCUGUGCACUCUGCCCGGCUCAGGCCAGCAUCGGUUCUCGUGGGAGGAUAAGAACAGUGGGAACGUGGCCCCCCUCCGGGGGGGUGUUAUAGCCCAUUGUACGAUACUCUCGUGGGGACCGAGGUUCGCGCUCCGCAAGGAUGCUGGCGUAAUGGUCAUCAAUGACCCGUCUUG